AAUGAACGCUGGCGGCGCGCCUAAUACAUGCAAGUCGAGCGAGAAGACGUAGCAAUACGUUUGUAAAGCGGCGAACGGGUGAGGAAUACAUGGGUAACCUACCCUAGAGUGGGGAAUAACUAGCCGAAAGGUUAGCUAAUACCGCGUACGCUCCUUGGACUUCGGUUCAGGGAGGAAAGCGAUACCGAGGGUAUCGCGCUCUUGGAUGGGCUCAUGUCCUAUCAGCUUGUUGGGAGGUAACGGCUCACCAAGGCUUCGACGGGUAGCUGGUCUGAGAGGACGAUCAGCCACACUGGCACUGCGACACGGGCCAGACUCCUACGGGAGGCAGCAGUAAGGAAUAUUGCGCAAUGGGCGAAAGCCUGACGCAGCGACGCCGCGUGGGGGA
This 388-nucleotide ribosomal RNA is filed under the name uncultured bacterium. RNAcentral's name for it is "bacterial SSU rRNA". It matches the Rfam family "Bacterial small subunit ribosomal RNA", at positions 29 to 408 of the family's 1533-position model. The record is from RNAcentral.